UGGCGAACGGGUGAGUAACGCGUGAGGAACCUGCCUCAAAGAGGGGGACAACAGUUGGAAACGACUGCUAAUACCGCAUAAGCCCACGGGUCGGCAUCGACCUGAGGGAAAAGGAGCAAUCCGCUUUGAGAUGGCCUCGCGUCCGAUUAGCUAGUUGGUGAGGUAACGGCCCACCAAGGCGACGAUCGGUAGCCGGACUGAGAGGUUGACGGCCACAUUGGGACUGAGACACGGCCCAG
Molecule: ribosomal RNA, 239 nt
Filed under: uncultured bacterium
Lineage: Bacteria
Description: partial 16S ribosomal RNA
Rfam family: Bacterial small subunit ribosomal RNA
Source: RNAcentral